GGAUUAGAUACCCUGGUAGUCCACGCCGUAAACGAUGAUCACUAGUAAUGUGGGGUUUCGACCCCUUGCGUUACGAAGCUAACGCGUUAAGUGAUCCGCCUGGGGAGUACGAACGCAAGUUUAAAACUCAAAGGAAUUGACGGGGACCCGCACAAGCGGUGGAGGAUGUGGUUUAAUCCGACGCAACGCGCAGAACCUUACCGAGGUUUGACAUCCCAGGAAGGCCGCCGAAAGGUGGCUGUGCCUUCGGGAACCUGGUGACAGAUGCUGCAUGGCCGUCGUCAGCUCGUGCCG
RNAcentral lists this ribosomal RNA (294 nucleotides) under uncultured bacterium. RNAcentral describes it as "partial 16S ribosomal RNA". It matches the Rfam family "Bacterial small subunit ribosomal RNA", at positions 775 to 1067 of the family's 1533-position model. The record is from RNAcentral.